This 515-nucleotide ribosomal RNA is filed under the name uncultured bacterium. Its description in RNAcentral is "partial 16S ribosomal RNA". It matches the Rfam family "Bacterial small subunit ribosomal RNA", at positions 28 to 523 of the family's 1533-position model. The record is from RNAcentral.
GAUGAACGCUGGCGGCGUGCCUAAUACAUGCAAGUCGAGCGAAUGGAUUAAGAGCUUGCUCUUAUGAAGUUAGCGGCGGACGGGUGAGUAACACGUGGGUAACCUGCCCAUAAGACUGGGAUAACUCCGGGAAACCGGGGCUAAUACCGGAUAACAUUUUGAACCGCAUGGUUCGAAAUUGAAAGGCGGCUUCGGCUGUCACUUAUGGAUGGACCCGCGUCGCAUUAGCUAGUUGGUGAGGUAACGGCUCACCGAGGCAACGAUGCGUAGCCGACCUGGGAAGGUGAUCGGCCACACUGGGACUGAGACACGGCCCAGACUCCGACGGGAGGCAGCAGUAGGGAAUCUUCCGCAAUGGACGAAAGUCUGACGGAGCAACGCCGCGUGAGUGAUGAAGGCUUUCGGGUCGUAAAACUCUGUUGUUAGGGAAGAACAAGUGCUAGUUGAAUAAGCUGGCACCUUGACGGUACCUAACCAGAAAGCCACGGCUAACUACGUGCCAGCCGCCGCAGUAA